AUUGAACGCUGGCGGCAUGCUUUACACAUGCAAGUCGAACGGCAGCGCGGGCUUCGGCCUGGCGGCGAGUGGCGAACGGGUGAGUAAUACAUCGGAACGUGCCCAGUAGAGGGGGAUAGCUCGGCGAAAGCCGGAUUAAUACCGCAUACGACCUGAGGGUGAAAGCGGGGGAUCUUCGGACCUCGCGCGAUUGGAGCGGCCGAUGGCAGAUUAGCUAGUUGGUGGGGUAAGGGCCUACCAAGGCGACGAUCCGUAGCUGGUCUGAGAGGACGACCAGCCACACUGGAACUGAGACACGGCCCAGACUCCUACGGGAGGCAGCAGUGGGGAAUUUUGGACAAUGGGCGAAAGCCUGAUCCAGCAAUGCCGCGUGUGUGAUGAAGGCCUUCGGGUUGUAAAGCACUUUUGGCGGGAACGAAAAGGACUGUGCCAAUACCACGGUUCGAUGACGGUACCCGCAGAAUAAGCACCGGCUAACUACGUG
This 484-nucleotide ribosomal RNA is filed under the name uncultured bacterium. Its description in RNAcentral is "partial 16S ribosomal RNA". It matches the Rfam family "Bacterial small subunit ribosomal RNA", at positions 29 to 507 of the family's 1533-position model. The record is from RNAcentral.